RNAcentral lists this ribosomal RNA (492 nucleotides) under uncultured bacterium. RNAcentral describes it as "partial 16S ribosomal RNA". It matches the Rfam family "Bacterial small subunit ribosomal RNA", at positions 29 to 507 of the family's 1533-position model. The record is from RNAcentral.
AGUGAACGCUGGCGGUAGGCCUAACACAUGCAAGUCGAACGGCAGCACAGUAAGAGCUUGCUCUUACGGGUGGCGAGUGGCGGACGGGUGAGGAAUACAUCGGAAUCUACUUUUUCGUGGGGGAUAACGUAGGGAAACUUACGCUAAUACCGCAUACGACCUACGGGUGAAAGCAGGGGAUCUUCGGACCUUGCGCGAUUGAAUGAGCCGAUGUCGGAUUAGCUAGUUGGCGGGGUAAAGGCCAACCAAGGCGACGAUCCGUAGCUGGUCUGAGAGGAUGAUCAGCCACACUGGAACUGAGACACGGUCCAGACGACUACGGGAGGCAGCAGUGGGGAAUAGUGGACAAUGGGCGCAAGCCUGAUCCAGCCAUACCGCGUGGGUGAAGAAGGCCUUCGGGUUGUAAAGCCCUUUUGUUGGGAAAGAAAAGCAGCAGGUUAAUACCCCGCUGUUCUGACGGUACCCAAAGAAUAAGCACCGGCUAACUUCGUG